UGCAGACGUUCACUGAUCAUCUUGCAGCGGAGGCAUUCUACAAGAGUGUGAUUGAACCGGACAUACCCAACCAAGGAGAUGAACAUUGAUGAUUAAGUGUGACAGGUGAAACAGCCCAUAAGGUACGUGACCAUGGAACACUGGUGCAUGUGGGAGGAUUCGAAUCAUUAAAGACUUCAUCAUGCUGUGCUUUACCUCAAAAUGGAGACUGCAGUCGAAGUGCAUAUGAGGUUGAUACAACAGCUUCCAACCUUGGAGGAAGAACCUGAUGGCAUGUGGCAGAUAUGAUCAGUCUGAGUCAGUCAUGGUGAAAGACUUUGCCGUGGCAGAGACUAACUGGUCGACUGUGGGCUCUGAAAAACCAAGGACCAAAGGCUCCAUUUUCAAUGCAAC
Amphiprion ocellaris (clown anemonefish) is the source of this 393-nucleotide long non-coding RNA. The record is from Ensembl. Lineage: Eukaryota; Metazoa; Chordata; Actinopteri; Pomacentridae.